GUGUCCUUGAGCCUUCACAAUUUGGAACAAGUAUUCUGCAAUCCACAAUCUUAGAUGCUCACUGUCUUCGCCCAGACAUUGAUGUAUCUGCCAUUUAAAGACAAGACAGUCUUACCAAACACAGCAGUAGAACCUGAAAGGAACAAUGAACAUGAAAAGAGACUCCAAGAGAUGCAGACAUUCUUGUUGGCCUACCUCACAGCAAAGAUGGAGAAUAAUAGCCAGAAAUUUGAGGCGGGGGUGUAUUUUAUCAGUGAUGGAGGAAGAGGAGCAGCUACGGAAGGAAGUCCAUGAGAAGAAGCAUUAGUACCUCCUCCUGGAGAAGAACAAGCAGCUUGAUGACCAGCUCGAUUUACAGG
Non-coding RNA from Salmo salar (Atlantic salmon), 359 nucleotides. The record is from RefSeq and is a predicted model, not a curated record. NCBI's taxonomy places the organism in Eukaryota, Metazoa, Chordata, Actinopteri, Salmoniformes, Salmonidae.